Molecule: long non-coding RNA, 3054 nt
Organism: Passer domesticus (house sparrow)
Lineage: Eukaryota; Metazoa; Chordata; Aves; Passeriformes; Passeridae
Exons: 2
Source: RefSeq, a predicted model, not a curated record
UCUUUCUUCCUUCACUAGAAGAAGAUUUUCACCUAUAUAUUAAACCUAUAUAGGAAUUACUUACGGGGUCUUGGCCCAAGAGUGGUCAGGAUUCCAUAAACCUGUAGCCUACUUGUCCAUAUUGAUGGUCCCUGUGUCCCAAGGAUGGCAAACAUGCAUCCAAUCAAUCGCUGCAGCAGCCAUCCUAGUAACAGCCAGGCAAAAACUUACAUUUGAGAGAAAUCUGAUAGAAUACACACCACACUCCAUCCAAACCAUUCUUAAACAACGAGCAGCCGAAUGGCUAACAGACUCUCAUAUUAUACAAUAUGGGAGCACCCUCAUCCAUUCCACAAAUGUAACCCUGAAAACAACCACCCACACCAAUCCCGCACAGUUCCUAUGUGGAAUCCCCAAAAACAAGAUCUCAUGCACAACUGCAUAGUUUUUAUAAACCCGCAAACAAAAAUUCAAGAAGACCUCCUAGAGAGCCCAUUAGAUGAAGGAGAAAUCCUGUUCAUCAACGGAUCAUCUAGAGUAGUAAAUGGAAAGAGGUGCUCUGGAUACUCCAUCAGAGAUGGAAAAGAACUGUACAGGUUAGAAAAGGAAAACUACCUGGUCUACCCAGGUAUGUGAAUUAGAUGCUUUGGAAAAAGCAUUGCACAGACUAGACAGAGCUAUUGGAACCAUUUAUACUGACUCUAAAUAUGCAUAUGGAGUAGUCCACAUGUUCGGGAAAAGCUGGGCUGAAAGAGGGUUUCUCAGAUCUAAGGGCAAAGACAUUUUACACAAAGAACUUAUAUUAAAAAUUAGAGGCACUUAAGUUACCGAAAGAAAUUGCAAUGGUACGUGUUCCAGGUCAUCAAAAGGGAUCUCUGGAGAAACCAGAGGAAACAUCCUAGCAGACCAUGCUGCAAAGGAGGCUGCUUUUGAGGGGGAAGUAAAGGUAUACAGAUUUUAUCCAAGAGACACACCCGAGAGUACACUGGACAACGCUCUUCCCAUCCCUGUUUUUAAAGACAAUGAAAAACAGAAACUCAUAUCACUAGGUGGAAAGGAAGAUUCUGAGGGACGGUGGCAUCUUCCUGAUGGCCACCAAAUGUUAAAUAAAGAGCUCACUCGAGAAAUUUUACAGAACCUCCACCAAUCCACACACUGGGGAUCUAAAGCUGUAGCAGGUCACUUUCUUCAAAAUUUUGGAUGUCGGGGAAUUGAUGAAUUAGCUAAUCAAAUUACCAUAGGUUGUAUAAUUUGCCAAAAAGUCAAUAGAAAAUUAACGAGGAGAACGAGACCUGGAAGAAUUGAAAUUGCAAUUAGACCCUUCCAAAGUAUUCAAAUUGAUUUCACAGAAAUGCCCCAUGUCCAAAGAUGGAAGUAUUUCUUAGUGAUUGUAGAUCACCUUACCAAUGGGGUUGAAGCAUUUCCAACUGUUAAUGCCACUGCUCAAACAGUAAGUAAGGUAAUCCUAGAACAGAUAGUCCCAAGAUAUGGAAUUAUAAAUAACAUUGAUUCAGACCAAGGUACCCAUUUUACAUCAUUAAUAUUGCAACAGUUGGCUCAACAAUUUGGAAUAACUUGGAAAUUACAUACCUCUGGCACCCUCAAAGUUUGGGAAGGGUAGAACGCAUGAAUCAGACUAUUAGAACAACCUGGACCAAACUGAUGUUAGAAAUGAGGUCGACUUGGAUAAAGUGCCUACCCCUUGCCCUUCUCAGAAUCCAGAGCCAACCCAGAGCUGACUUAAGUUGUUCCCCAUAUGAAAUGUUAUACGGGCUUCCCUAUUUAGCCACCCCACAUCAAGUAACUGCCAAAGAGUGAGGAAAUAGAAAUGUGCAAGGGUAUAUUCAAAAGAUUGCCCAGAAUCUAAAAGACUUAAAGCAGAGAGGUCUUGUACCCCAGAACAUUCAUUUAGACUUCUAUUUACAUAAGAUCUGCCCCGGAGACUAGGUACUUAUUAAAUGCUGGAAGGAACAAUCCCUGACUCCAUCAGGGGAAGGUCCUUUCCAAGUUCAAUUGACCACAGAGACAGCCAUCCGAGCACAGGAAAAAGGGUGCACUUCCAUCAGCCGAGGAAAAAAAGGUCCAGUAACACCACCGCAAGAUGACGAGAAACCUCCAUGAACUACUCUCUACAACAGUCCUCCCCGGUGUUAUUCCUGAAAUUAUUAUAUCAAUUGUUAUUCUCUCACUGCUUUACAGCAGAGAAUCUAAUGGAUGUUGUAGUUACUAUUUAACAAGUUAUUACGAAUUUUCAAUUCCAUUUCUCCACCAGUGAAGAGUAUCAUUUCCCUGAGAAAUGACCUUUCCUCUCCAAUAACUAUGUCUUUUUUUUUUUUUUUUUAAAUUUCCUUAGGAGAAACAACAUGAAUAGAACCAAGGCCAGUUCCAGGUAGGACGUUACUGCAUUUAGGUCCCUUCCUGCAUCCAGGUACACUCCCAUGACAACCAAGGGGUUCGAACCCAGGAGAAAAAACAGAGAGCUUGAAAGGUCUGCACCACCUAUCAGACAGUACCACGGCACUUCAAUCUUCCCACUGACCCCUGAGCGAGGGAAGGGAAGGUUGAACUUGAUGCCAUAGCAACUGUGCGUACUAAUGAGAGAGCUUCCCAUCAAAAACCUCAGAGAGAUCAUCCCACCCCAGUGACAGCACACUCUGGGAAAGAAGAUCUUACCUCAUCAUCUACUAGCACCAAUCACCAGAGACUAUGGGGGCAGAACUGCAAGUACAGACUGAGGGGAGCGAGAAUAUCAAAGGGGCAGCCUGGCCUGAAGAGCUGCCUUUGCUGUCUUUUACUGUGACUGGGACUGUGACUUAGCUACAGCAGGGGACCCCACAGUGCAGAUUUUGGUCAAUAUCUCUUUUUAGAGACCUUUUUCCAGAUUUGAGGGCAGACUAAGUGCAUUCACUGCAAUGCCCUUGGGUUCUGGCCUUGGGGCCAGACGCCAGUUCGGCUAGAGGUUUCCUCAAUCCUUGGGCCUGGGACUUUAUCCUUUUUUCUUUCUUUCCUUUCUUCUUUUUCCUUACCUCCCCUUUUGUUUUUCCCCUUUAAAUAAACACCCUAUUUUUGUUCAAA